Molecule: long non-coding RNA, 1564 nt
Organism: Oreochromis niloticus (Nile tilapia)
Lineage: Eukaryota; Metazoa; Chordata; Actinopteri; Cichliformes; Cichlidae
Exons: 2
Source: RefSeq, a predicted model, not a curated record
UCUCAGUGACCAUCUGUCUGUUUUUGACUCUGAAACCUGGACUCAGGCUUUGACUGCUCCGUUUUCUGUGGUUGCAUUUUGUUCUUUUGACGUAAGACAUGACCUGUUUUCUGUAUAACUCUUUUCUGUUAUACCUAAAAAAACCAAAAUCCCAUAAACAACAUUUAGUUGGGGGAUAUAAUUUGAAUAUAUAUGGAAAUUUUCUUUAGAUGUAUUUACAUAAAGUGAGUGCCUCAGUUUGGGGUGCUUUUAAAUAAUCUUUUUCUUGAAAAGGAAAUCCUGUUUCAUAUGCUUUGUAAUCAGGAUAUCUUUUAGUAAUGGACUGAAAAGUACUAUUAUGUCUUACUCAUCUUCUUAACAAAAUGAACCAAAUGUCUAGGAAAAAAAUGGAAGGAUGUAUUUGACGGUUUGAACCACAGUGUGGAGACAGCGCACUUCCAGUUUUCUCGUAGAGCUUGCUGUCUGCUCAGGUAGUGCUGUUUCCCCUUUGCUGGUAAAUAUUGCAUCUCAUUUUGAGUGCACAUUAACAGUAUCAUAGAUACAAACCUGAGACAAAUGGACUCCUGCUACAAUGUUCACUCCUAACCAAAAAACAGUACCAGCUGUUCCAAGGCUCCUUAACAGGAUAUGGAGAAAACAAAGAGUGUUGAGCAUGGAGAGGAUGGAAGGAAAAGAAUAUCUUUUUCUUCACAAGCGUUUAUUGUUCACAGGCAGGAUGUUAGUCAAACAGGUCUCCUUGUUGUGUGGGGAAACAUCUCGUAGUGCAUUAUUCACUAGAAAAUGCCUCGUGUGUCUUUUCUUUAGUCAAACAGGGAACCACGGCGUGUCUGUGGUUCCAACAAAUAUGAGCUUUUAGACAUGGGCAGUGUCUGCGUUUGUGCUCCUGUUUUUGUAGCGGCUGUUUUGAACUCGGGUUUAUUUGUCAGUGUGUCAGUGGGAUGUUUGAUGCAGCUCUGCUUUUCUGAUGGUUGACUGCAGUGCUUUUUAAACCAGGAAUGAGGGCUAGGACUGCUGCCAAUGGGCAUACAUUUGGGAGGGGUACUGGUAAAUUUCAGUAAUCUGCUCUGCCAUGACUUACACAUUGAACCUUUACAUCUGGCAAUUCCGUGAUCUACCUAUUUAUCUACAUGCCACAGCUUUAUUUCUUCCCAUUACAAAGACAGCAGCACAUCUGCUUUACAGACCAUCAGAGGACAUGAAAACAAAAGCAACCCAAUUGCAAAUCCUCAUGGACAACACGAGGCCAGAACCUUUGUAUGUCAGUGUUUAGUCUGUAGAUGUUUGUAUUACACCACACUGAAAUAUUUGCACAGACAAGCAAAAGAAAACAGUUUUCUCCUUCUGCAAUAACAACAGAGACAGACCGUUUUAUUUACGAGAUUUUAUCAAAAGAGCUUGGCGAGAAGACGAGUUGGAAGGCUUUAUAAAAAACAUCAGUUUAUCUGUGACAAUGGAAGAAAUUCUUCACGUUUGAUUGGACAGAAAGAAAAUCCAUUUUCGAUUUUUCCCUGUUAAAGCCCAUUGACAUUUAUAUUGACUUCUUCUUACUGUAAGAUCAGAGUGU